Musca domestica (house fly) is the source of this 1129-nucleotide long non-coding RNA. RefSeq lists it as uncharacterized. The transcript has 4 exons. NCBI's taxonomy places the organism in Eukaryota, Metazoa, Arthropoda, Insecta, Diptera, Muscidae. The record is from RefSeq and is a predicted model, not a curated record.
AGCCAACUUCUCUACAAACUUCCUUUGAUGUUGUUGGGCGUACUUACAAAAUGGCACAACGUUAGAGAUUUUGUAUAUGUAAGUAUUGGAGAAUUUUUUGUGAUGAGAUUGAUAAUAUUUGUUUGUGCAUUUUCUUAAGACCUUUCUUUCCAGGAUUUCCAAUUCGUUGGCAACUAUUGGGGAAAUAGGAAACCAGAUUGGAAAUGCGUAUGUUAGGAUAGAUCCAAUUGCCACCUUAUAUAGGAGCAGCUUGGUGUUUUGAGGUAAAUAAUUGCUGUUAAGGAUGUUUGAAAAACUCACUAAUAUACCUUUAACUUUUUGCAUGAUGGAACGAGCAUGUUCGUUGAAUUUUAGGAGAUGAUUAAAUGUUACACCAAGGUACUUUAAGGUUGUGCUGAAAGGAAUUUCUACUCCUUCUAAAGACAAUUUUAAUUGCUUGCUUUCUGGUACAACUUUUCGAGGGCAUUUGCCCGACGCAUUACUUGUUGAUUAUGUGUAGGUGUUCUGAAGCAACACUCAGGGCAAUGGCUGGCGAAGGAUUAUGUGCGUAGAUUAUGCAAUCAUCUGCAUACAGGAUUGCUUUGGAAUGUUGAUACAUGUAUGGAAAGUCAUGAAGAAACAGGUUAAAACGGUAUGGUGCCAAGAUACUACCUUGAGGAACGCCGCUAUUUACAUGGCCCAAGGAUGAUGAUGUAUUCUGGAUCUGAACCAUAAAUUUACGAGAAUUGAAGAAAUUCUUUAGCAUUUUUAUAAUAAAUGGAUCUACUCCAAGUUGAAUUAAUUUGAACAAAAUACCGAGCACUACUUCCAGUAUUUUACUAAUAUUUGACAAAAGGGAAAUUGGGCGAAAGUCAUCAACGUUGCAAUUUGCUGUUUUCUUGUUAAUGGGUAUGAUUUUGGCAACUUUCCAUUGUUUGAGAAAGUAUCCGUUGUUAAUGCAAUUAUUGAAAAGGCACAUGAAGUAAAGUGGUAUGUGUCUGGAUUGUGGAGAGAAUUAAAAUUUUCAUCGAAUGAGUAUAUAUGAGUUGGUGUUGAGUUGAUACAUGUUAACAGCGUAGAAUUAUGCUCAUCUGAGGCAGGAAGUGUUGUUGAGCCUUCAAAUAUGGUGGAAUAAAAAUUCUUAAAAUGA